GUGCUCACUUCAGCAGCCCAUAUACUAAAAUUGGAAUGAGAUAGAGAGUAUUUGUAUGGCCCCUGCACAAGAAUAACACAAAAAUUUGUGAAAUGUCCCAUAAAAAA
This 107-nucleotide small nuclear RNA is filed under the name Macaca nemestrina (pig-tailed macaque). Lineage: Eukaryota; Metazoa; Chordata; Mammalia; Primates; Cercopithecidae. The record is from RNAcentral.